RNAcentral lists this long non-coding RNA (644 nucleotides) under Anas platyrhynchos platyrhynchos (common mallard). Its description in RNAcentral is "lncRNA (ENSAPLG00000028810.1)". The record is from RNAcentral. Lineage: Eukaryota; Metazoa; Chordata; Aves; Anseriformes; Anatidae.
GCUAUAAACGGGAAAAAAUAAGGCAAGUUGAACUCCUAUAGCAUCUAUGCACUGAACUGUAUCUUAGCAUGGUGGAACAGUCUUCUCCUGUAGCAAGUGACAGAAUAUGAAGCAGCUGGUAGCACCAAAAAAAAAAAAAAAAAAAAAAAAAGCAGGAAAAAAUAUAGAAAAAAAAGAAGACGAAGAAAUUAGAAAAGCCUCUUGCAAACACUAGUGAAUCAUUCCCACAGGCUUUAUGCUUGCCCAGCAUGCUUUCUGUGUGCCAAGACCAAGGAAAAUCACACCACUUCAUUAAGGAGAUGUGCUUUCCACCAGGAGAACCCAGUGGUUCUGCAUGAAAACAGAACAAAUAGAUGAAAUACUGGGCCCAGACAGGUCAAUGGCAAAAUUCCCAGCAACUUUAAUGGAGCCAAGAAUUCACUAAGACAAGGGGCUGGGGACCACCUGAGCUUUUCUCCUGCUCCAGAGGUGAAAGUGCCAGAUGUGACUGCAGUCGUAUUGCAGAAGGAAGAGUCUGGCCUAGCACAAGGAACAGUGGUGCCAGGGUUGAGAGGAAUCCUUCUGGAUCAACAUUUUCCAGGUCUGAAUUCCUCUCAUGCCUGGCAUUUAAUCACUGCAUUUGCUGUCUAUCAAACAGUAUAAAA